CUCCAGUUAGCGUUAGCGUUUGUCUGCCUGUCGGUUUUUGGAUUAUUUGGAGCUGUUGCUCUUGGAUUUAUCUGCCUACAGAGAUUAGCCCUGCUGCCACUAGCGAGUCAGCCAUUAGCGCGUCUGCACUGCUGUGGGACUCUGUCAUCUGUUUCAUACAGUUCUUGUGGAUAUUGAGUUCCCUGUUUUGGCAGGAUCGGCUGUUUCUCCAGCUGUGACUGUCCCUUCAGUGCUGCUUGGUGCGUCCGUGUUGGAGCUGUCACUGCGCACUCUGGCUGCCUGCCUACAGUCAAAACCAAACAUAUAUUAAAGUCUGCUGCACCAGUUCACAUGCUAGGUCCAGCACAAACCCCACAGGAGGACACUCACAGAACGGAGGGUCUGGUCACUCUGCUUGAUGACCUCCUGGAUCUGUCUCAGCACUGUAACCUUCGUGUGCUCCAGCUCCUGCUGCUGCUGUGUGGCGUCCGCA
Long non-coding RNA from Pangasianodon hypophthalmus (striped catfish), 472 nucleotides. RefSeq lists it as uncharacterized. Lineage: Eukaryota; Metazoa; Chordata; Actinopteri; Siluriformes; Pangasiidae. The record is from RefSeq and is a predicted model, not a curated record. The transcript has 3 exons.